RNAcentral lists this ribosomal RNA (305 nucleotides) under uncultured bacterium. Its description in RNAcentral is "bacterial SSU rRNA". It matches the Rfam family "Bacterial small subunit ribosomal RNA", at positions 335 to 657 of the family's 1533-position model. The record is from RNAcentral.
GUACCUACGGGAGGCAGCAGUGGGGAAUAUUGCACAAUGGGGGAAACCCUGAUGCAGCGACGCCGCGUGAGUGAUGAAGUAUUUCGGUAUAUAAAGCUCUAUCAGCAGGGAAGAUAAUGACGGUACCUGACUAAGAAGCUCCGGCUAAAUACGUGCCAGCAGCCGCGGUAAUACGUAUGGAGCAAGCGUUAUCCGGAUUUACUGGGUGUAAAGGGAGCGUAGACGGUUCUGCAAGUCUGAAGUGAAAGCCCGUGGCUUAACCGCGGAACGGCUUUGGAAACUGUGGAACUGGAGUGCUGGAGAGG